UACGUAGGGGGCUAGCGUUGUCCGGAUCUAUUGGGCGUAAAGAGCGUGUAGGCGGCCAGGUAGGUCUGCUGUGAAAACUCGAGGCUCAACCUCGAGACGUCGGCGGAAACCAUCUGGCUAGAGUCCGGAAGAGGAGAAUGGAAUUCCUGGUGUAGCGGUGAAAUGCGCAGAUAUCAGGAAGAACACCCGUGGCGAAGGCGGUUCUCUGGGACGGUACUGACGCUGAGACGCGAAAGCGUGGGGAGCGAACAGG
This 253-nucleotide ribosomal RNA is filed under the name uncultured bacterium. Its description in RNAcentral is "partial 16S ribosomal RNA". It matches the Rfam family "Bacterial small subunit ribosomal RNA", at positions 524 to 776 of the family's 1533-position model. The record is from RNAcentral.